RNA transcript from Papaver somniferum (opium poppy), 1587 nucleotides. It is a transcript of the gene named beta-adaptin-like protein C, with no coding region annotated. The record is from RefSeq and is a predicted model, not a curated record. Lineage: Eukaryota; Viridiplantae; Streptophyta; Magnoliopsida; Ranunculales; Papaveraceae. The transcript is spliced from 7 exons.
CCAAAGUGGGUGGUAAGGUCAGUGAUCGAGUGAUAGCUAAAGUGAGUGGGAGUUUGUAAGAAAGUUAAAUCCCUGUACAAACCAAAGUUUUGAAAAGUAAUAGAAGUCCACUUCCAUAAACUCCAAUUGAGUGUCCCGUGAGUUAUUUAAGAGUCAUACACAUCUUCAAUACCAUUUUUCCCAUUAACCCCAUAAUCAUUUCCAACAGACAUCGUCGACCACAAGAAAGAAUGUUUUACCCCCCGAUAGACUCAACUAAUUUUUUGUGCAAAGCAUUCCAUCCUAAGUUUUGUGAAUCUUUUUCUGUAGCUUCUAGUAUGAUUGCCUUAGCAAUUUUUGUGCGAUCAAAACGAUCAGAAACACUGAUCCACGGCUAUUUCAAAAUGGGUUAGAUUUUGUACGCUAUGAUGGUUGAAUACUAGUUGGGCCAGAGUAGUCUUGCCAAGACCCCCCAUCCCAAUGGUAGAGAUGAUGCGGGGAUCACUUGUUUAAUCUUAAUAUCCAUAUUCGGCGAUCUAAACCAAGUUUCUUCAAUACCCUCAUCUCUCAAGACAACUUAACUAAUAUCAAUUUUGGAAGGUGCUGUGACAACUCAAUUAUAUAUCACACACUCAAGAGGUCCCAAGUGCUUCUACGUGGAUUCAUCAACUGGCUGUAAAUUCUCUUCAUAGGAGCAACCAAAUCGAUGAGAUGGAAGGAGGAGCCUUGUUUGUAUUUGACCUUUGUAUUUUUGAAUCACAUGAAAAAACUGGAUUUCAUGAGGCUAGUGCAUUUGCAUCUGCGUUUGGUAUGCAGUCUACAGUCGAAACUCCAUGAUCCAGCGCCGCUUUGCACCGGGUAUUACACUAGGUAAUAAUUUUUUCAAGCUCCACUGGAACUCAAGGAAUAUACCUCCAAAGUUGGCAGAUUUUGUCAGAAAAAUGGUUACUAUUUAUGUGCCAUCAAGUUAGAAAGAGCAGGUGAAUAUUGUAAAGUGUCUGAUUGAGAUCAUAACUAUGGCGUCCAGGAGGCUAUCAUUUUCAUCAUGGGUAUCUCUAGCAGAUAUCCUAACACCUAUAAAUCAAUCAUUGCAGUACCUUGCAUGUGGAUUAGACACCUUAGUUGAAAGCAAAGGUUUCUUGGAGAGUUUCUCAGAAGAGCCUGCUCUGGUUCAGUUACAUUUGCUUACAGUCACUAUUAAAUUUUUUAUGAAGAAUCCAACAGAAGGCGCACAAAGAAUGAUUUAGGUUUGUUGCUUCAAUGCUUGAUAUUGAUGCUCCUACAUUUUCAAUUGCACCAUUGCAGGUAGUCCUGAAUAAUGCUAUUGUUGAGGCGGACAAUCCAGUUCUGCGUGAUCGGGCUAUAAUUAUUUGCAAGUCUAACACGGUAUUGCCAGGCUGUAAGUCCACAGAAGUAAUCGUGUUGAGAUAAUAAAUAUAGUGGAGAUGUCUUCAAGUCCAACACAGUAUUUGCCAGGAUUUAAAUGUUAGGAAGAACGUACAAGUUUAAGCUUCUCGCAAAAACCAUCAAAAAGGAUGGGCGACUAAAAGAUACCUUGACACUACUAACAAACUUAGUUUCGUUUUCUUGUAUUUGUAAAGAAAGAAA